GCGCCUAUAGUUUAGCUUGGAUAGAACGGUCGGUUGCGGUCCGGCUGGCAGGGGUUCAAAUCCUCUUGGGCGCG
Molecule: transfer RNA, 74 nt
Filed under: Nanobdellota archaeon
Lineage: Archaea; Nanobdellati; Nanobdellota
Also listed under: 1 other name
Description: tRNA-Arg
Rfam family: tRNA
About the family: Transfer RNA (tRNA) molecules are approximately 80 nucleotides in length. Their secondary structure includes four short double-helical elements and three loops (D, anti-codon, and T loops). Further hydrogen bonds mediate the characteristic L-shaped molecular structure. tRNAs have two regions of fundamental functional importance: the anti-codon, which is responsible for specific mRNA codon recognition, and the 3' end, to which the tRNAs corresponding amino acid is attached (by aminoacyl-tRNA synthetases). tRNAs cope with the degeneracy of the genetic code in two manners: having more than one tRNA (with a specific anti-codon) for a particular amino acid; and 'wobble' base-pairing, i.e. permitting non-standard base-pairing at the 3rd anti-codon position.
Source: RNAcentral